RNAcentral lists this ribosomal RNA (465 nucleotides) under uncultured bacterium. Its description in RNAcentral is "partial 16S ribosomal RNA". It matches the Rfam family "Bacterial small subunit ribosomal RNA", at positions 339 to 795 of the family's 1533-position model. The record is from RNAcentral.
CUACGGGGUGCACCAGUGGGGAAUAUUGGACAAUGGGGGAAACCCUGAUCCAGCAAUGCCGCGUGUGUGAAGAAGGCCUGCGGGUUGUAAAGCACUUUCGGUUGGGAGGACUGCUUCUAGCACUAAUAUUGUUGGAAGUUGACGUUACCUUCAGAAGAAGCACCGGCUAACUCCGUGCCAGCAGCCGCGGUAAUACGGAGGGUGCAAGCGUGAAUCGGAAUUACUGGGCGUAAGGCGCGCGUAGGCGGCUAGAUCAGUCGGGUGUGAAAGCCCCGGGCUUAACCUGGGAACUGCAUCCGAUACUGUCUAGCUUGAGUACAGGAGAGGAGAGUGGAAUUCCACAUGUAGCGGUGAAAUGCGUAGAUAUGUGGAGGAACACCAAUGGCGAAGGCAGCUCUCUGGCCUGAUACUGACGCUGAGGUACGAAAGCGUGGGGAGCAAACAGGAUUAGAUACCCGUGUAGUC